UGGGGAAUUUUGGACAAUGGGCGAAAGCCUGAUCCAGCAAUGCCGCGUGUGUGAAGAAGGCCUUCGGGUUGUAAAGCACUUUUGUCCGGAAAGAAAUGGCUCUGGUUAAUACCUGGGGUCGAUGACGGUACCGGAAGAAUAAGGACCGGCUAACUACGUGCCAGCAGCCGCGGUAAUACGUAGGGUCCAAGCGUUAAUCGGAAUUACUGGGCGUAAAGCGUGCGCAGGCGGUUGUGCAAGACCGAUGUGAAAUCCCCGAGCUUAACUUGGGAAUUGCAUUGGUGACUGCACGGCUAGAGUGUGUCAGAGGGGGGUAGAAUUCCACGUGUAGCAGUGAAAUGCGUAGAGAUGUGGAGGGAAUACCGAUGGCGAAGGCAGCCCCCUGGGCCAAUACUGACGCUCAUGCACGAAAAGCGUGGGGGAGCAAAACAGGAUUAGAUACCCUGGUAGUCCACGCCCUAAACGAUGUCAACUAGUUGUGGGGAUUCAUUUCCUUAGUAACGUAGCUAACGCGUGAAGUUGA
This 523-nucleotide ribosomal RNA is filed under the name uncultured bacterium. RNAcentral's name for it is "partial 16S ribosomal RNA". It matches the Rfam family "Bacterial small subunit ribosomal RNA", at positions 355 to 868 of the family's 1533-position model. The record is from RNAcentral.